CUUUCAUGAUGUUAUAUGACAGGAUUAGAAAUUAGGCUACCUCUAGCCUUCCAUAAGCAGGAGAACAAACCCAAUAAACUCAAGAUCCUAAAGUCAAAGUAGGUAAAAAAUAAGCAGACAAAAAAAAUAAAAAUUCAGAAGGACUUAAAAUUACUAUCAUAAUUUCAAAAACCUGUUGCUGCAGGUUUUAGCCUUUAUAAGAGGUUUGUUAUUUUUCAGGAUAUAACUUUUUUUAUUAUAAUCUUCAGGGCAGGGUACCUGUAAAAAAAAAUGGGUUUACGUAGAAUCAUAGAAUGUCCUGAGCUGGAAGGGACCCACAAGGAUCAAUGAGUCCAGCUCCUGUCCUUGCAUAUGACAAUCCCACAGUUCACACCAUGUGUCUGAGGGUGUUGUCCAGUCUCUUCUUGAACACUGUCAGGCUUGGGGCCGUGAUACCUCCCUGGGGAGCCUGUUCCAGUGUCCAGCACCCUCUGGGGGAAGAACCUUUUCCUAAUGUCCAACCUAAACCUCCCCUGGCACAUCUUCCUGUCAGUCCCUCAGGUUCUGUCAUUGGUCGCUGGAGAGAAGAGAUCCACACCUCCCCCUCCUCCUUCCCUUGUGAGAAAGCUGUAGGCCAUGAUGAGGUCUCCCCCCAGUCUCCUCCAAGCGGUGGUCUUGCAGCAAGUGCUGACAGGGCUGGAGGUGGUGGGGAAGCCCAUCAUGGGGUGGAUGGGAGAGGCCCCCGAGAGCUGCGUGGUGCUCCAGCUCACAUCUGCUCCUGCCUUGCAUGUCCCAUCGUCCAGCACGUGGCUUUUCUGCUCAUUUGCUUGUUUUGCAGGACCAAAGAGAAAGUUAGGAAGGAUAAAUGUGUUUUUUGCCAAACUCAAGACCAGAGGAAGAAAGCAGACCAAGAAGGAUUGAAAUAGAAUGUGUAAUUUACACAUCUUCAGUGCCACAAAGGCAGAAGAGACUCCUCGGGUUCAGAGGCAAUGGCAAGUCACUACUUCUGUCUCCAUAUAGCAAGAGUUAAUCUCUCCACACUCAGAGAGAGCACAUCCUCCUAAUGUGGGUGCCUCAUUGAGACUUCUAAAGUGAUGUUACAUUACUAUGAGUCAAAAAGCCAGGGAUUGAAUCUGACCAGUUCACAUAUUGUCAAGUAAAUAUAUCCUGAGACUACAUAUUAAACCAUGAAAGUAAAAUAAAUAGUGAACAGAUAGUUCCUAUAUGAGAUCUUACAUACUGCUUAUGUAACGGUGUCUACAAGCUCAUGUGUCACUGUACCGAUGACAUGAACAAAAUUCAGUAAGAGGCAUAUCUAUGGUAUAGCAUGGGAAGAUGGAGAAACCACACAAUGGGGACUGAAUCAAGGUUGCAGAGGUAGCUUUUGAAUGCUUGGCUCUAUAACCUUUGUAGCCUUAAUAAUGUAAUUUUAAUGCAUACUAUAUUUUGUUUUAUGCCUUAGAGCCUUUGGAACAGAUUCCAUCACCUGCACUGAAGGAAGCAACUCAAUAGGUCCCAACCCUGCAUGGCCUGUUGUGAUCAGCCUGUGUAGGGUUAUAUGCAUCACCCUUAGCCUUGAGAGCUGAUGACAGGGUGCAGAAAAAUUCUGUCCUCUGUUUGAUGAAAGCCUAAUUGCUCACUUUGUCAUGUUGAUCUUGUAACAUGUCUCCUGCUCCUGCUGCUUCUCAGUAAUUUUCUGCAUAGAAAUACCCUCUGUGCACUGUCACCAUUUACUCUGUGACAUGGUGAAAGUACUGUACAGGCUAUUUCUGAUAGAUCUCACUAGGGAAUGUUAUUUCUCCCUGGAGCUACUUCCAUCAGCUUCAUACUAUUUCUGUCUCCAAAGAAACAAUUCUAAGCAGCACCCUUUCUACUAACACCAAUCCUUUCCCCUCCUCCCCCUCAGAGCUGGCAGUCAUAGUUGACCGAGUGCCAAAUUAAAAUUCUAGAGGGUGACUGUCCACAGUAUUUGAUAUAUUUUAAUGCUUCAGGAUCCUUCCACUGUAAUGUCAUCCUAUACUUGAGCAAUGCAUUGCCCAGCUCCUGAAUUCCCCCAGAUUCAAUGCGUCCAGAGUCCUGAAGCAAUGCACUUGUGUUAGGGCACCUCUGUCAAUUAUAAUAUCAGUCUGCAGCAUGCUGUUGUGACUUGAUGGUCUUAGAUGACCUGAGCGAGUACAGAGAUGGUUUAACAAGCUGCCUCUUUCCCUGCAGUCCUGUGGGCCAUUUGCUUGGAGUGGUGGUAGUAGGGGGAUGGGGAGGACAACACAUUAACCUUCUCCAUGCUUUGGACAGUUUUGAACUCCAUGAGCAGGGCCACAACUCUAGUCUGAAUCUAACGUGCAGAAUUUAACACCAUUGCUUUGAAGGCCAUUUUACUUAAUUAGAAGAAUGCACCCAAAUUAUGUCCACAUCACCAGCAUCAUAUGUUACCCUCAGUUGCACCACAGAAAAGAGAAACAUCAUUAAACAUAAAUUCUCUUCUCAAAUGCUCUUCUGUCACCAGUUAUUUCAUGCAAUGUUAUCUUCCUUUCCUCCCUAUUUACCUAAUGACUUGGUGUUGUUAUUUAUACUACUUCUGUGUUGAUUUGUCCUGCCACCGUAUGUUCACUCACUUUGUUUGAUGAUAAUGAUCUUUCGCGGUAUAUGCACUUCCAUGUAUUAAUUAUUGCUGAGAUUCAGAUGUUUGUUUUUCAGAAUUAAAGCAAAUUUAUUUUUAUUUUUUAUCA
Columba livia (rock pigeon) is the source of this 2705-nucleotide long non-coding RNA. RefSeq lists it as uncharacterized. The transcript has 2 exons. The record is from RefSeq and is a predicted model, not a curated record. Lineage: Eukaryota; Metazoa; Chordata; Aves; Columbiformes; Columbidae.